UGCUUAACACAAGCAAAUUGAACGCAGAAUAAGCCUUCGGGUUUAUUGCUGAGUAGCAAACGGGUGAGUAACGCGUGGGAAUCUGCCUUUUUGUGGGGGAUAACUGAGGGAAACUUCAGCUAAUACCGCAUACGCUCUACGGAGGAAAGACUUCGGUCGCAAAAAGAGGAGCCCGCGUCAGAUUAGGUAGUUGGUAGGGUAAAGGCCUACCAAGCCAAUGAUCUGUAGCUGGUCUGAGAGGAUGAUCAGCCACACUGGGACUGAGACACGGCCCAGACUCCUACGGGAGGCAGCAGUGGGGAAUAUUGGACAAUGGGGGAAACCCUGAUCCAGCAAUGCCGCGUGAAUUUGAAGGCCUUAGGGUUGUAAAGUUC
This 374-nucleotide ribosomal RNA is filed under the name uncultured organism. RNAcentral's name for it is "bacterial SSU rRNA". It matches the Rfam family "Bacterial small subunit ribosomal RNA", at positions 45 to 433 of the family's 1533-position model. The record is from RNAcentral.